This 2921-nucleotide ribosomal RNA is filed under the name Staphylococcus aureus. RNAcentral describes it as "bacterial LSU rRNA". It matches the Rfam family "Bacterial large subunit ribosomal RNA". The record is from RNAcentral. Lineage: Bacteria; Bacillati; Bacillota; Bacilli; Caryophanales; Staphylococcaceae.
UUAAGUUAUUAAGGGCGCACGGUGGAUGCCUUGGCACUAGAAGCCGAUGAAGGACGUUACUAACGACGAUAUGCUUUGGGGAGCUGUAAGUAAGCUUUGAUCCAGAGAUUUCCGAAUGGGGAAACCCAGCAUGAGUUAUGUCAUGUUAUCGAUAUGUGAAUACAUAGCAUAUCAGAAGGCACACCCGGAGAACUGAAACAUCUUAGUACCCGGAGGAAGAGAAAGAAAAUUCGAUUCCCUUAGUAGCGGCGAGCGAAACGGGAAGAGCCCAAACCAACAAGCUUGCUUGUUGGGGUUGUAGGACACUCUAUACGGAGUUACAAAGGACGACAUUAGACGAAUCAUCUGGAAAGAUGAAUCAAAGAAGGUAAUAAUCCUGUAGUCGAAAAUGUUGUCUCUCUUGAGUGGAUCCUGAGUACGACGGAGCACGUGAAAUUCCGUCGGAAUCUGGGAGGACCAUCUCCUAAGGCUAAAUACUCUCUAGUGACCGAUAGUGAACCAGUACCGUGAGGGAAAGGUGAAAAGCACCCCGGAAGGGGAGUGAAAUAGAACCUGAAACCGUGUGCUUACAAGUAGUCAGAGCCCGUUAAUGGGUGAUGGCGUGCCUUUUGUAGAAUGAACCGGCGAGUUACGAUUUGAUGCAAGGUUAAGCAGUAAAUGUGGAGCCGUAGCGAAAGCGAGUCUGAAUAGGGCGUUUAGUAUUUGGUCGUAGACCCGAAACCAGGUGAUCUACCCUUGGUCAGGUUGAAGUUCAGGUAACACUGAAUGGAGGACCGAACCGACUUACGUUGAAAAGUGAGCGGAUGAACUGAGGAUAGCGGAGAAAUUCCAAUCGAACCUGGAGAUAGCUGGUUCUCUCCGAAAUAGCUUUAGGGCUAGCCUCAAGUGAUGAUUAUUGGAGGUAGAGCACUGUUUGGACGAGGGGCCCCUCUCGGGUUACCGAAUUCAGACAAACUCCGAAUGCCAAUUAAUUUAACUUGGGAGUCAGAACAUGGGUGAUAAGGUCCGUGUUCGAAAGGGAAACAGCCCAGACCACCAGCUAAGGUCCCAAAAUAUAUGUUAAGUGGAAAAGGAUGUGGCGUUGCCCAGACAACUAGGAUGUUGGCUUAGAAGCAGCCAUCAUUUAAAGAGUGCGUAAUAGCUCACUAGUCGAGUGACACUGCGCCGAAAAUGUACCGGGGCUAAACAUAUUACCGAAGCUGUGGAUUGUCCUUUGGACAAUGGUAGGAGAGCGUUCUAAGGGCGUUGAAGCAUGAUCGUAAGGACAUGUGGAGCGCUUAGAAGUGAGAAUGCCGGUGUGAGUAGCGAAAGACGGGUGAGAAUCCCGUCCACCGAUUGACUAAGGUUUCCAGAGGAAGGCUCGUCCGCUCUGGGUUAGUCGGGUCCUAAGCUGAGGCCGACAGGCGUAGGCGAUGGAUAACAGGUUGAUAUUCCUGUACCACCUAUAAUCGUUUUAAUCGAUGGGGGGACGCAGUAGGAUAGGCGAAGCGUGCGAUUGGAUUGCACGUCUAAGCAGUAAGGCUGAGUAUUAGGCAAAUCCGGUACUCGUUAAGGCUGAGCUGUGAUGGGGAGAAGACAUUGUGUCUUCGAGUCGUUGAUUUCACACUGCCGAGAAAAGCCUCUAGAUAGAAAAUAGGUGCCCGUACCGCAAACCGACACAGGUAGUCAAGAUGAGAAUUCUAAGGUGAGCGAGCGAACUCUCGUUAAGGAACUCGGCAAAAUGACCCCGUAACUUCGGGAGAAGGGGUGCUCUUUAGGGUUAACGCCCAGAAGAGCCGCAGUGAAUAGGCCCAAGCGACUGUUUAUCAAAAACACAGGUCUCUGCUAAACCGUAAGGUGAUGUAUAGGGGCUGACGCCUGCCCGGUGCUGGAAGGUUAAGAGGAGUGGUUAGCUUCUGCGAAGCUACGAAUCGAAGCCCCAGUAAACGGCGGCCGUAACUAUAACGGUCCUAAGGUAGCGAAAUUCCUUGUCGGGUAAGUUCCGACCCGCACGAAAGGCGUAACGAUUUGGGCACUGUCUCAACGAGAGACUCGGUGAAAUCAUAGUACCUGUGAAGAUGCAGGUUACCCGCGACAGGACGGAAAGACCCCGUGGAGCUUUACUGUAGCCUGAUAUUGAAAUUCGGCACAGCUUGUACAGGAUAGGUAGGAGCCUUUGAAACGUGAGCGCUAGCUUACGUGGAGGCGCUGGUGGGAUACUACCCUAGCUGUGUUGGCUUUCUAACCCGCACCACUUAUCGUGGUGGGAGACAGUGUCAGGCGGGCAGUUUGACUGGGGCGGUCGCCUCCUAAAAGGUAACGGAGGCGCUCAAAGGUUCCCUCAGAAUGGUUGGAAAUCAUUCAUAGAGUGUAAAGGCAUAAGGGAGCUUGACUGCGAGACCUACAAGUCGAGCAGGGUCGAAAGACGGACUUAGUGAUCCGGUGGUUCCGCAUGGAAGGGCCAUCGCUCAACGGAUAAAAGCUACCCCGGGGAUAACAGGCUUAUCUCCCCCAAGAGUUCACAUCGACGGGGAGGUUUGGCACCUCGAUGUCGGCUCAUCGCAUCCUGGGGCUGUAGUCGGUCCCAAGGGUUGGGCUGUUCGCCCAUUAAAGCGGUACGCGAGCUGGGUUCAGAACGUCGUGAGACAGUUCGGUCCCUAUCCGUCGUGGGCGUAGGAAAUUUGAGAGGAGCUGUCCUUAGUACGAGAGGACCGGGAUGGACAUACCUCUGGUGUACCAGUUGUCGUGCCAACGGCAUAGCUGGGUAGCUAUGUGUGGACGGGAUAAGUGCUGAAAGCAUCUAAGCAUGAAGCCCCCCUCAAGAUGAGAUUUCCCAACUUCGGUUAUAAGAUCCCUCAAAGAUGAUGAGGUUAAUAGGUUCGAGGUGGAAGCAUGGUGACAUGUGGAGCUGACGAAUACUAAUCGAUCGAAGACUUAAUCAA